UUUUCGCGAAGGCCCGCGGCGGGUGUUGAUGCGAUGUGAUUUCUGCCCAGUGCUCUGAAUGUCAAAGUGAAGAAAUUCAAUGAAGCGCGGGUAAACGGCAGGAGUAACUAUGACUCUCUUAAGGUAGCCAAAUGCCUCGUCAUCUAGGAACGGACUUGGCGGAAUCAGCGGGGAAAGAAGACUCUGUUGAGCUUGACUCUAGUCUGGCACGGUGAAGAGACGUGAGAGGUGUAGAAUAAGUGGGAGGCCCCCGGCGCCCCCCGGGCGGGGUCUGCCGGCCCUGCGGGCCGCCGGUGAAAUACCACUACUCUGAUCGUUUUUUCACUGACCCGGUGAGGCGGGGGGGCGAGCCCUGAGGGGCUCUCGCUUCUGGCGCCAAGCGCCCGGCCGCACGCA
This 396-nucleotide long non-coding RNA is filed under the name Homo sapiens (human). RNAcentral describes it as "non-protein coding lnc-COL4A5-3:1". It matches the Rfam family "Eukaryotic large subunit ribosomal RNA", at positions 2154 to 2588 of the family's 3401-position model. The record is from RNAcentral. Lineage: Eukaryota; Metazoa; Chordata; Mammalia; Primates; Hominidae.